UAAGCAGAUACAGGGGCCAUCAUUACUCAGAAGUCGCAUUAACAAUGCUGUCUUACCUUAGGAUUUCCAGACACAGAAAAAAUACCAUUAUUCCAGACAUGAAGGGCAGUGAUACAGUGUUUUUUAUUACAGGCUUCUAGGACUGCCAAGGCUGAUACCAUCUGUGUCUGACAGAAGGAAUCUUCCGUGAUGAUCUGUCCUUCUGUGACAGAAGGAAUCUCCCUCUCUGAGGGAAUGUGAUGCUGUUAUAUUAGUCUGCUGGAGCUGCCAUAACAAAACACCUUCAAAUGCGCGGCUUACACAACAGAAAUUCAUUGUCUCAUGAAUCUGGAGGCGAGAAGUUCAAGAUCAACGUUCUGUGGUUCAAAGUAUAGACCCCGCUAUCAGGAUGCCUGGACUCAAAUCCUAGCUCUGCUCCUUACUCUCUGGGUGACCACAAAAAACAGGAAACUAGCUGAAUGGAAGAUUUGACAAAAGUAUGGAGAGACGGUUCCUGAAUCCUCACAGGAGGAGAUGGUGCCUGGACACCACAAAGAAUCUUCUUCUGAUUGGACAAUAAAUGCAGAGAGACCAAGCAGAUGCUGUCUCCUGAACUUUGAAUCCUCUCUGACUCCAGCAAAAGCAAUGAGUACUGUUGAAAUCAUUUGUUCAGUGAAAAGAGUGAUGUGUGGACCAUCUGGUUCUUGCUGUCUAAUCCUGAAUGUUCCUGGUCCCUGACUAUUACAUCAACUCAGUGAAACUUUAAUGUCUUUCCAUUAAAUUCUUCUUUUUCCUUAAGACAUCCAGAAUGAAUUCCUACUGUUUGCACAUGUGGAUUUCUUUUCCAAAUUCAU
This 833-nucleotide long non-coding RNA is filed under the name Mustela putorius furo (domestic ferret). RNAcentral's name for it is "lncRNA (ENSMPUG00000026945.1)". The record is from RNAcentral. Lineage: Eukaryota; Metazoa; Chordata; Mammalia; Carnivora; Mustelidae.